AUGUCAGCUGUUUCAGGUUCAAUAUGGAUACGGAAUAACAGUCCGGCCAAGCGAGCGUACGUGUUUGGAGGGUAAUUCUUCCAAGGUCGUAUAAUCCAACGAAAGUUAUAUCUAAAAGGCAGUCGUCUGAUUUAUGCAAAAUCUAGCGCGCAACGUUGAUGUGUUGACACAGGGAUUUAAAUACGGAAUAUCUGGACUCAUGAACCUUGCAAGUCAAACCUCGGAUCCUCAGAGUGGUGUUUUCUUUGUUAAUUUCAAUCAAGAUUGCACAUCCCUCGCAGUUGGCACGAAGUCUGGCCACAAAAUCUUCUCGCUCAACUCUGUUGAUCACCUGGAAAAAAUUUAUGAAAAUGAUUCUGAAGACAUAUGCAUUGUCGAGCGGCUGUUCAGCAGCAGUCUUGUGGCAGUGGUCAGCCUCUCCUCCCCCCGUAAGCUGAAAGUAUGCCAUUUUCGUAAAGGGACUGAAAUCUGCAACUACAGUUAUUCCAAUACCAUUUUGGCUGUGAAAUUGAAUAGAGCGAGACUGGUGGUAUGUCUCGAGGAAUCACUCUACAUUCACAAUAUCAGGGAUAUGAAGGUGCUUCAUACAAUCCGUGACACACCUCCGAAUCUCGCGGGACUCUGUACGCUCUCCAUAAACAGCGACAGUUGUUACCUCGCCUAUCCUGGCUCAAACACAAUAGGAGAAGUACAGAUAUUCGAUGCCAUCAACCUUCAAGCCAAGACGAUGAUACCAGCACAUGACAGCCCUUUGGCAGCUCUUGCCUUUAAUCCAUCAGGAAAUAAAGUAGCGACGGCUUCAGAAAAAGGAACUGUUAUCAGAGUUUUCCAUGUACACGAUGGUGCUAAAUUAUUCGAAUUUCGACGAGGUGUUAAGAGAUGCGUAUCUAUCAGCAGCCUUGCAUUUAGUAUGGACUCUCUGUUUCUUUGCUGUUCGAGUAACACUGAAACUGUGCACGUUUUCAAACUGGAAGAACCAAAAGAAGCACCAGCUUCAGAGGAAGUUCAAAGUUGGAUGGGCUUUUUUACAAAAGCAGUAUCGGCAUCAGCGAAUUAUUUGCCAUCUCAGGUAACUGAUGUUUUCAAUCAGGGACGUGCUUUUGCCAGCGUACAUCUACCUUUCCAGGGACUGAGAAAUGUUUGUGCCAUCACUACGAUACAGAAAGUGUUGAGGCUAUUAGUGGCCAGUGCAGAUGGAUAUCUCUACGUUUAUAAUCUUGAUAUGGUAGAAGGGGGAGAUUGCACUCUACUGAAACAGCACAGGCUGGACGGCAAGCCGGAUGAAAUAGAUGGUCCAACCGUAUCUACAACAGCAUCUGCAACUGUAGAAACACCUGCGGCAGCUCAAACAGUACAAAACACAGAUACGAUACAAUUGCAGCACAUCCUACUUUGUUGACAAUUGAUUUAAAUGCUGCAAAUUGAAGGAAUCAAAUACCCUAUCAGUCAUUUUAUGUUAUUUGCUGUACCUACAGCGUAACAAUGAAAAUGUCUGAUUUGCAAUCAGUCAAGAAUUCUACGUGAGAGAAGCGCAGACAGAUUAGGCUGCAUAAAUAGCUACGCGGGUGCAUUGCGCGGCCGCUCGCCAGACGCCAUGUCAGACUCAGAAAAGUUUCACGAGAUGGUAGCUGCUACGGAAAGUCCACCCAAGGGCGGUUUUCGUUUGGAUGACGACACCGAGUUUCCACCGGUCACACAAAGGACUGAUUGAAAACUAUCUUUGACAUAUCUUUAAGGGAUUUUGUAAUGAUAAAAUAAUUCAACACGUG
This 1769-nucleotide unclassified non-coding RNA is filed under the name Neodiprion pinetum (white pine sawfly). Its description in RNAcentral is "wD repeat domain phosphoinositide-interacting protein 2, transcript variant X3". Lineage: Eukaryota; Metazoa; Arthropoda; Insecta; Hymenoptera; Diprionidae. The record is from RNAcentral.